This 520-nucleotide long non-coding RNA is filed under the name Salmo salar (Atlantic salmon). RNAcentral describes it as "lncRNA (ENSSSAG00000102046.1)". Lineage: Eukaryota; Metazoa; Chordata; Actinopteri; Salmoniformes; Salmonidae. The record is from RNAcentral.
GAUUGAAUGCUUUGUUACAAAAGUAUGGCUGAAUCCAUUCUCAGUAUUUGAGCUAUAGUCCGUUGUUUUAUUCGUACAAUGUGAGGUUACUGUUAUGGGCCUACAUUUGUGAGGCACAUAAACAUUGUAUUUCUCUGAAACCAAACCUCUACACAAAGUCUCAGCCAAUACAUCAUGGCAGCAUUAGGACUCAUAUGGCUUGUGAUCUUCACAGCAUCCAAACUUGCCAAAUCUGAAUACACAGAUACCUACCCUGCGAGGCUCUUUGCACCAACAUUCAUGGUGAGAGAAGGGGGUAAUAUAGAUUUUAAAUGUAGCAUUGUCGGCCUGGAACAACACUGGGUCGAGGUUCACGUUUACCUUUGCAAGAAUGGAGUUGGGAUAAGAAUGACAGUUCUGGAGAAAGGUGAAGAUGACACCAGUUUCACCAUGAAGGAUGUUACAAAUGAAGACUCAGGCAACUACAGCUGUGUGUACACCAGAGAUAAACUUCUACAAGAUCAAGUGAAGUCAACAGGCG